CACAUCACACUUAACACCCAAAACAAGAAACCCUCACAAACAUAUUCAUCACACAACUUAUCAAAUCAACAAAACUGAAAGAUUCCCAAAUCAAUCCACAGCAUACCCAAAACACCAGAAGCACCUCAAAGCCAUUAUGGUUACCAAUCAAAGUUACCAAACCCAGAAAACAACAGAUUAAAUCUACCAAAUUAUAACAAACCCAUUAAAGCCAAUUGCAUACAGAUUCCAAAAAAGCUUUUGAUACUCAUAGAAACUGUUUUAUUACUGAACCAAGAGCAAAAACACUAACCUUAAUAAAACAUAGAUACAAAAGAUGAAAUCAAACAAAUAAUUGAACGGUACCUUUGGAGACAACGCAUUGAUCCAUAAAAUUAGGGAGCUUAAAAA
RNAcentral lists this long non-coding RNA (390 nucleotides) under Panax ginseng (ginseng). RNAcentral's name for it is "long non-coding RNA (PGIN_LNC011660)". Lineage: Eukaryota; Viridiplantae; Streptophyta; Magnoliopsida; Apiales; Araliaceae. The record is from RNAcentral.